GACGAACCGUGCGAACGUUAUUCGGAAUCACUGGGCUUAAAGGGCGCGUAGGCGGGUCCGGCAGUCAGGGGUGAAAUCCCACGGCCCAACCGUGGAAGUGCCUCUGAUACUUCGGACCUCGAGGGAGGUAGGGGCGUGCGGAACUCAGGGUGGAGCGGUGAAAUGCGUAGAUAUCCUGAGGAACACCGGUGGCGAAAGCGGCGCGCUGGAUCUCUUCUGACGCUGAGGCGCGAAAGCCAGGGGAGCAAACGGG
RNAcentral lists this ribosomal RNA (253 nucleotides) under uncultured bacterium. RNAcentral describes it as "partial 16S ribosomal RNA". It matches the Rfam family "Bacterial small subunit ribosomal RNA", at positions 524 to 776 of the family's 1533-position model. The record is from RNAcentral.